Molecule: ribosomal RNA, 736 nt
Filed under: cf. Rotiferophthora sp. 473/LC1
Lineage: Eukaryota; Fungi; Ascomycota
Description: SSU rRNA
Rfam family: Eukaryotic small subunit ribosomal RNA
Source: RNAcentral
CUUGGUGAUUCAUGAUAACUUCUCGAAUCGCACGGCCUUGUGCCGGCGAUGGUUCAUUCAAAUUUCUUCCCUAUCAACUUUCGAUGUUUGGGUAGUGGCCAAACAUGGUUGCAACGGGUAACGGAGGGUUAGGGCUCGACCCCGGAGAAGGAGCCUGAGAAACGGCUACUACAUCCAAGGAAGGCAGCAGGCGCGCAAAUUACCCAAUCCCGAUUCGGGGAGGUAGUGACAAUAAAUACUGAUACAGGGCUCUUUUGGGUCUUGUAAUUGGAAUGAGUACAAUUUAAAUCCCUUAACGAGGAACAAUUGGAGGGCAAGUCUGGUGCCAGCAGCCGCGGUAAUUCCAGCUCCAAUAGCGUAUAUUAAAGUUGUUGUGGUUAAAAAGCUCGUAGUUGAACCUUGGGCCUGGCUGGCCGGUCCGCCUCACCGCGUGUACUGGUCCGGCCGGGCCUUUCCCUCUGUGGAACCCCAUGCCCUUCACUGGGCGUGGCGGGGAAACAGGACUUUUACUUUGAAAAAAUUAGAGUGCUCCAGGCAGGCCUAUGCUCGAAUACAUUAGCAUGGAAUAAUGAAAUAGGACGUGCGGUUCUAUUUUGUUGGUUUCUAGGACCGCCGUAAUGAUUAAUAGGGACAGUCGGGGGCAUCAGUAUUCAAUUGUCAGAGGUGAAAUUCUUGGAUUUAUUGAAGACUAACUACUGCGAAAGCAUUUGCCAAGGAUGUUUUCAUUAAUCANGAA